GGUUGAUCACAUGACUCAGGUCAGAGGUUAUCAGUAGCUGGUGCGUUCGCUUCUCGCUUGGAUUGGGAGUGAUCUUUUCGUGCAGGACCAGUCUCAACUCCGUCAUCGGUGGACCAAACCAAACUUCAGGGAGUCUAAUUCGUGCAGAUCUUUCCAUUAACCAACAAACAUGUCUGACGACGAAUCAUACAGGCGAGCUGGGCAGAAUGGAGAAACCGCACCAUCAAGUCGAUUUUCUGCGGGGUUUGACACGCCCAACUCUGAGGAGGAUCGAAUGUCAAGGAUGGAGCGACGAAUCAGAGAAAGACAGCAGAGAUAUAAAAACAUUGUUGCAGAGACGAACCAAGUUAGAAAUGGGUAAAGCUUGAUUUUUGCUCGCUUUUUCUUCAUGUGCAU
Molecule: long non-coding RNA, 396 nt
Organism: Lineus longissimus
Lineage: Eukaryota; Metazoa; Nemertea; Pilidiophora; Heteronemertea; Lineidae
Exons: 4
Source: RefSeq, a predicted model, not a curated record